RNAcentral lists this ribosomal RNA (492 nucleotides) under uncultured bacterium. RNAcentral's name for it is "partial 16S ribosomal RNA". It matches the Rfam family "Bacterial small subunit ribosomal RNA", at positions 29 to 507 of the family's 1533-position model. The record is from RNAcentral.
AGUGAACGCUGGCGGUAGGCCUAACACAUGCAAGUCGAACGGCAGCACAGUAAGAGCUUGCUCUUACGGGUGGCGAGUGGCGUACGGGUGAGGAGUACAUCGUAAUCUACUUUUUCGUGGGGGAUAACGUAGGGAAACUUACGCUAAUACCGCAUACGACCUACGGGUGAAAGCAGGGGAUCUUCGGACCUUGCGCGAUUGAAUGAGCCGAUGUCGGAUUAGCUAGUUGGCGGGGUAAAGGCCCACCAAGGCGACGAUCCGUAGCUGGUCUGAGAGGAUGGUCAGCGACACUGGAACUGAGACACGGUCCAGACUACUACGGGAGGCAGCAGUGGGGAACAUUGGACAAUGGGCGCAAGCCUGAUACAGCCGGCGCGCGUGGGUGAAGAAGGCGUUCGGGUUGUAAAGACCUUUUGUUGGGAAAGAAAAGCAGCAGGUUAAUACGACGCUGUUCUGACGGUACCGAAAGAAUAAGCACCGGCUAACUUCGUG